GUUGUAUAGUCAAGUAAUUAAGUGCAUGUGGUGGAUGCCUUGGCAGUCAGAGGCGAUGAAAGACGUGAUAGCCUGCGAAAAGCUCCGGGGAGGCGGCAAAUAUCCUUUGAUCCGGAGAUGUCUGAAUGGGGGAACCCACCUACUUUAAGGUAGGUAUUGCAACAUGAAUACAUAGUGUUGCAAGGCGAACGAGGGGAAGUGAAACAUCUCAGUACCCUUAGGAAAAGAAAUCAAUUGAGAUUCCCUCAGUAGCGGCGAGCGAACGGGGAUCAGCCCAUUAAGUUAUGUGUGUUUUAGUGGAACGCUCUGGGAAGUGCGAACGUAGAGGGUGAUAUUCCCGUACACGAAAGGGCACACAUAAUGAUGACGAGUAGGGCGAGGCACGUGAAACCUUGUCUGAAUAUGGGGGGACCAUCCUCCAAGGCUAAAUACUCCUGACUGACCGAUAGUGAACCAGUACCGUGCGGGAAAGGCGAAAAGAACCCCUGUGAGGGGAGUGAAAUAGAUCCUGGAACCGCAUGCAUACAAGCAGUGGGAGCACCUUCGUGGUGUGACUGCGUACCUUUUGUAUAAUGGGUCAGCGACUUAUAUUCAGUAGCGAGGUUAACCGUAUAGGGGAGCCGUAGAGAAAUCGAGUCUUAAUAGGGCGUUUAGUUGCUGGGUAUAGACCCGAAACCAGGCGAUCUAUCCAUGAGCAGGUUGAAGGUUGGGUAACACUAACUGGAGGACAGAACCCACUGUCGUUGAAAAGCCAGGGGAUGACUUGUGGAUAGGGGUGAAAGGCUAAUCAAGCCUGGUGAUAGCUGGUUC
This 810-nucleotide ribosomal RNA is filed under the name Acinetobacter baumannii. RNAcentral describes it as "bacterial LSU rRNA". It matches the Rfam family "Bacterial large subunit ribosomal RNA", at positions 1 to 855 of the family's 2925-position model. Lineage: Bacteria; Pseudomonadati; Pseudomonadota; Gammaproteobacteria; Moraxellales; Moraxellaceae. The record is from RNAcentral.